RNAcentral lists this unclassified non-coding RNA (307 nucleotides) under plant metagenome. RNAcentral describes it as "partial contains 5.8S ribosomal RNA, internal transcribed spacer 2, and large subunit ribosomal RNA". The stretch from base 1 to 105 matches the Rfam family "5.8S ribosomal RNA", at positions 50 to 154 of the family's 154-position model. The record is from RNAcentral.
GAAAUGCGAUAAGUAAUGUGAAUUGCAGAAUUCAGUGAAUCAUCGAAUCUUUGAACGCACAUUGCGCCCGCCAGCACUCUGGCGGGCAUGCCUGUUCGAGCGUCAUUUCAACCCUCAGAACCCCUUGCGGGAUCUGGCGUUGGGGAUUGGCAUCCAGCCAGCCCCGAAAUCUAGUGGCGGUCCCUCCGCGACCUCCCCUGUGCAGUAGCGAUACCUCGCAGCGGGACAGCGGUCUGACCACGCCGUAAAACCCCCAACUUCUCAAGGUUGACCUCGAAUCAGGUAGGAAUACCCGCUGAACAUAAGC